GACGUAGGGCGCGAGCGUGUCCGGAUUUAUUGGGCGUAAAGAGCUCGUAGGCGGCUUGUCGCGUCGAAUGUGAAAACCCACGGCUCAACUGUGGGCUUGCAUUCGAUACGGGCAGGCUAGAGUUCGGUAGGGGAGACGUGGAAUUCCUGGUGUAGCGGUGAAAUGCGCAGAUAUCAGGAGGAACACCGGUGGCGAAGGCGGGUCUCUGGGCCGAUACUGACGCUGAGGAGCGAAAGCGUGGGGAGCGAACAGG
This 253-nucleotide ribosomal RNA is filed under the name uncultured bacterium. Its description in RNAcentral is "partial 16S ribosomal RNA". It matches the Rfam family "Bacterial small subunit ribosomal RNA", at positions 524 to 776 of the family's 1533-position model. The record is from RNAcentral.